This is a long non-coding RNA of Platichthys flesus (European flounder), 739 nucleotides long. RefSeq lists it as uncharacterized. The record is from RefSeq and is a predicted model, not a curated record. The transcript is spliced from 2 exons. Lineage: Eukaryota; Metazoa; Chordata; Actinopteri; Pleuronectiformes; Pleuronectidae.
AACUCAAUCCCAUAAAAUACUAGCAAGUAAAGAUAUUCGUAUUAUUGUUCUUAAAGUUUUUUCUUGCAGAAAGUCUGGAUCAACGUAAAUAGAAAAAAUAAAAUGUAAUAGCAGCAAGUGAGAUAUGAUUGUUAUAAACGUAGUUAGUAAGUGUGUUGUUUGUGAGUGUGACUCAGGGUCCACCUAAAAUAAAACACAAUUCCAUAGAAGUAAUAACAAUAACAGUCAUUAGCAUUGGCGGUGUAUGCUAAUGUUGGUAGCAGAAUCCCCCGUUGAACCGCAGUUAGCCAGCUAGCCUCCUGUCAUGCUAACACGAAUGCGCAGCAAACUGUCGCGUCCACAGCCGUGCGUGUGGUCCCAGGUUUAAUAAGGUUCAUGUAAACACAGCCACGUGUCUGACCAUCAAGUGUGUGGGAGAUCCAGUUCAGGCUGUAAGUUCCACAUAACAGGCCCGCGGGGGCUAAGGCUAGCUAAAGUUAGCCUGGCCGAUGCGGAAGUGUCCACUCGUAGGUUGGCAGACCAAACUAAGUAGCGAGAGGAGAAAUCCGCAACAGGAGUAAAUGGCCGAGCUGGUGAGCCACACUCACCGUUUGGUAUCGGCUCGCUGGGUCCAUCCCCGGUUCGGUUCAGCUGGGAGAUCCGGCCGAGGGGAGUCCGACUGCUGAAUGUGUCCGAGCCGCGAGCGUCGCGAUCCGGGGACGCUCCUGUCAAACUGUCGCUGGACAACAGAGGAGAGAAA